RNAcentral lists this ribosomal RNA (321 nucleotides) under uncultured Lactobacillus sp. RNAcentral's name for it is "bacterial SSU rRNA". It matches the Rfam family "Bacterial small subunit ribosomal RNA", at positions 213 to 524 of the family's 1533-position model. The record is from RNAcentral. Lineage: Bacteria; Bacillati; Bacillota; Bacilli; Lactobacillales; Lactobacillaceae.
UAUCACUCUUGGAUGGACCUGCGGUGCAUUAGCUUAGUUGGUAGGGUAACGGCCUACCAAGGCGAUGAUGCAUAGCCGAGUUGAGAGACUGAUCGGCCACAUUGGGACUGAGACACGGCCCAAACUCCUACGGGAGGCAGCAGUAGGAAUCUUCCACAAUGGACGCAAGUCUGAUGGAGCGAACGCCGCGUGAGUGAAGAAGGGUUUCGGCUCGUAAAGCUCUGUUGUUGGUGAAGAAGGACAGGGGUAGUAACUGACCUUUGUUUGACGGUAAUCAAUUAGAAAGUCACGGGCUAACUACGUGCCAGCAGCCGCGGAAAU